UACGGGGGGGGCAAGCGUUGUUCGGAAUUACUGGGCGUAAAGGGCGCGUAGGCGGCCUGUUAAGUCGAACGUGAAAUCCCCGGGCUCAACCCGGGAACUGCGUCCGAUACUGGCAGGCUUGAAUCCGGGAGAGGGAUGCGGAAUUCCAGGUGUAGCGGUGAAAUGCGUAGAUAUCUGGAGGAACACCGGUGGCGAAGGCGGCAUCCUGGACCAACACUGACGCUGAGGAGCGAAAGCCAGGGGAGCAAACGGG
RNAcentral lists this ribosomal RNA (253 nucleotides) under uncultured bacterium. Its description in RNAcentral is "partial 16S ribosomal RNA". It matches the Rfam family "Bacterial small subunit ribosomal RNA", at positions 524 to 776 of the family's 1533-position model. The record is from RNAcentral.